UAGGGAAUAUUAGAAAUGGACGAAAGUCUGAUCUAGCGACACCGCGUGUGCGAUGAAGGCCUUCGGGUUGUAAAGCACUUUUUGGAAGGAAUAGGAAGGAAGGUACUUCCAGAAUAAGUCUCGGCUAACUACGUGCCAGCAGCCGCGGUAACACGUAGGAGGCAAACGUUAUCCGGUUUUACUGGGCGGAAAGCGCGUGUAGGUGGUUCUGUAAGUAGGGCGUGAAAGCUCCCGGCUCAACUGGGAGAGGCCGUUCGAAACUGCAGAACUAGAGGAUGGUAGAGGGAGUUGGAAUUUCAGGUGUAGCGGUGGAAUGCGCAGAUAUCUGAAGGAACACCAGUGGCGAAAGCGGCCUCCUGGACCAUUCCUGACACUCAGACACGAAAGCUAGGGUAGCAAACG
RNAcentral lists this ribosomal RNA (402 nucleotides) under uncultured prokaryote. Its description in RNAcentral is "bacterial SSU rRNA". It matches the Rfam family "Bacterial small subunit ribosomal RNA", at positions 355 to 774 of the family's 1533-position model. The record is from RNAcentral.